Molecule: long non-coding RNA, 235 nt
Filed under: Gossypium barbadense (sea-island cotton)
Lineage: Eukaryota; Viridiplantae; Streptophyta; Magnoliopsida; Malvales; Malvaceae
Description: long non-coding RNA (GBAR_LNC023042)
Source: RNAcentral
GUGUACAAGCAAUGUUUUUAAAGUUACUAGGCUACUUAGUGGUAUUAGGUAGUAAUAACUGAUGUAGUUGGCUAUAAAUGUAUUGUUUUUCUUAUUGAAAAAUUAAGCAUAUCAGUUGUGAAACUCAGAUUGCUUCCUUGCUGCACGUUUGUGAGCAAGUAAAUUGUUUUUGUUUCUUCCUCCUUUGUUCUCUGUCUUGUUCUUUUUCUUUUUGCUGCUGCCAUUGUUCCAACAU